UUAGCCUCUGAUCUAUCCCUGUGUCUCAAGCUCAAACAGCGAAGAGAGAUUGACGGACAUCCAAAAGAAAAAGAGACAAAAGGUGAGGAACUGGUAAGUGAAAGUUGUGAGGACAGAUAGUGUCAGUGAGAUAAGUGUGUUCGAGAUAAAGGAGAAUAUAUAGUUGGACACUGACAGAGAGGUGGAGAAAUUAAAAAGGGGGAGGAGCCAAAGAUUGAACCAAGAGCAUGUGUGGGGAAUAUAAAAGCAAAUACAUGCUGGUUUGAUGUUAUAGAGUUUAAAAAACACAGUUGCUGUUGUUGUAUAGAGGUGAAUAAUAAUGAACUCUCUUGAACUGACAAAAUAAAAAAUGUUUUCAUGGUUCAUCUGCUGAAUCCCUUUUCUAACUUAAGGUUGGAAUUGUGGGAUAUGGACAUUUAGGUGAUUUCUCCAAAGAAAACCUAUGUUUCAACAGCUACAACUUUCUCUGCUUUGAUUAAAUUUGCACUUUAUUAAAACCUAAAAUCCUGACUGCCAUAGUAUUUGCAUUUAUUUCAUAAUGAUUAUCAGUUGCGUGGGAUAAGUAACUGUCCCGGAUCAUGUUUUCACCAUCCUCAGGUGGGCAACCCUUCUGUCCUCUCUGACCCCUGGCGUGAGCAAGAUCUCCGCACUGUUGCAAAACGGUAUGAGAAAACACUUUAUGUGCCCAGUGGUGCAUUAUGGGGUGGCCAAGAUUUAAAAAAAAAUGAUUUGACAGUUGAAAUUUGCUGGCUCUCUCCAUCCAAAUGUCUAAACAUCCCUCUUGCUUUCGGCUUGCUGGUGUUCUGCUCUCUGAUUGGACGGAGACCAGUCUCUGAUUGGAGACAGGACCGGAGAAAUCAUCUCAGAUACUAUGAUCAGACUACCAUAUUGUGGACACUAAGGUCCAGACGGGUUCACAGUGAAAAUGAUGCAGCAAAACCCUGCCAGACUGGGAGCUGUAACAGGAAAUGCCACAUACAAUUCCUUCUGGAGCAGCUUACUUGUCUGGGUCAUGGAGGGAGGAGGGUACAGCUGUGUAUUGAUAACAGUGGACUGCUGCAGAAAGUUAACCGAAGAAACACACACAAUG
Long non-coding RNA from Carassius auratus (goldfish), 1090 nucleotides. RefSeq lists it as uncharacterized. The transcript is spliced from 4 exons. NCBI's taxonomy places the organism in Eukaryota, Metazoa, Chordata, Actinopteri, Cypriniformes, Cyprinidae. The record is from RefSeq and is a predicted model, not a curated record.